UGCAUCGAUGAAGAACGCAGCGAAAUGCGAUAAGUAAUGUGAAUUGCAGAAUUCAGUGAAUCAUCGAAUCUUUGAACGCACAUUGCGCCCCUUGGUAUUCCGGGGGGCAUGCCUGUUCGAGCGUCAUUACAACCCUCAAGCUCUGCUUGGAAUUGGGCACCGUCCUCACUGCGGACGCGCCUCAAAGACCUCGGCGGUGGCUGUUCAGCCCUCAAGCGUAGUAGAAUACACCUCGCUUUGGAGUGGUUGGCGUCGCCCGCCGGACGAACCUUCUGAACUUUUCUCAAGGUUGACCUCGGAUCAGGUAGGGAUACCCGCUGAACUUAAGCAUAUCAAUAAGCGGAGGAA
RNAcentral lists this ribosomal RNA (348 nucleotides) under Lasiodiplodia theobromae. RNAcentral describes it as "eukaryotic LSU rRNA". The stretch from base 1 to 126 matches the Rfam family "5.8S ribosomal RNA", at positions 29 to 154 of the family's 154-position model. Lineage: Eukaryota; Fungi; Ascomycota; Dothideomycetes; Botryosphaeriales; Botryosphaeriaceae. The record is from RNAcentral.